Molecule: long non-coding RNA, 1951 nt
Organism: Callorhinus ursinus (northern fur seal)
Lineage: Eukaryota; Metazoa; Chordata; Mammalia; Carnivora; Otariidae
Source: RefSeq, a predicted model, not a curated record
AACCCCAAGGGCAGGAUUUUAAAUUCCUCCUUUCACAAAUGAGGAAACCAAGGCUUAGAGAGAUUACAUGACACAGCUGAGACUGAAUUUCCAGUGUCUUGUUCUCCGUAGAGUGUCCUGUUGCCAUUCCAGCCUGGUGAUUCGGCUGUGGGAGGAGAGUCCAAACAAAACAGAGGAUAGAUCUUGGCCGCAUGGACAUGAUUCCCUGACACUCUCAUGUUAUGAAUUUCCUGAGGCCUCUCAUGUUAUGACUUCUGUGUGCUUAACCAAUACCCUAAGCAUCAAUUAUUUUGGAGUAAAACGAAAUAAAACCAAACACAUAAAAUCACUUUUCCCAGGAAGUGUUUGUGGUAUGAAGUUCUCUGGAAUGUUCCUCCCAUGUCAUGCCUCCUUUUUUUGCCCUGCUCUUGAUUCGCAUUGGAUGGAGGUGGUUAAUAUCCUGGAGCCUGGUGAAGUGCCAAAGAGCAUUUCUCGAAGAAACCUGAGCAAAGUGAUGUGAAUGUUUGACAGCUUUUCUUUCACGUGUAUGAAGACCUGAAUGCUCCUGGAAGCCACUUUCCUAAGCCCUCUCCAGGUUUUGCCAUGCAGGUCCAUGUCCAUAUGGAAACCGGCUUCCUGAAACAUGAAUUGAGGAAUUGUCCAGUAGAGAGAUUCAGAAGGGCAAGAGAAGACAGUGCCCUGAGAUGUUGAACUGAUUCGAGAGCUUCCAGACAGUCAAGAGAUGAUGUGGCAGGAUGACGUCCUCAGCUCCUGCCUGCUUGUGCGAAGGGACCAUCCACGGGAUGCGAUCGAGGGGCAAGCAUGUUCCCUCUCCCUCCUUCUGCUGUCAGUGAAUGCAACCGUGCCUGAGUAUCGUCUCCCGCGAUAGUCCUUGUCCCAUUAAGGUGUCUUCAAAUGUCAAAGACAACAAGAGACAUUAGUGUCUCCUGGCAUCUCAGCUGAGGAUUCCCCACUUUAGAUUUCAAUGCAGUGGGACCUGACUCUCUCCAACCCCUCAGUGACUCUUCAGGCAAGAACAAUGUAGUACCGGGAAGAGCAAAGCCCUCCGCAGGCCAGAUCCAUGAGGAAAUACCAAUGCUGUCCAUCAUCCGGGGCCUCUCCCUGCUCACCUGCAAAGGCUGCAACCAAGAGUCCUCAGUUGGCUACAAGUAGAAUUGGGAUCAAGAAAAGUAAAUGAACAACCCCAAAGAAAACGACUUAAGGAUGUGAAUAAAUAAUUCAUGAAGGAAAUGUGUUUCUGGCUCUCAGCAGUUUCCAGCACCCAAUAGCAGCAAAAUCCAGAAGGAUGAAGAAAUCUCAGGGGUAUUCAGAUAGCAAUGACUACAAACGCUCAAGACAGCAGAAAACUGAGGACAGCAGUCUCUACUCUUCACCGUGUGCAAAGGGACUGACCCAUGAACAGCUUUAAGAGCACUGACCUUGCAAAUGUAAAUCCAUACAUUAGUUGCAGUCAUUCUUCUUCAAGUGGACAUCCUGCCCUCGCCGUCAGUGUACACCUGGGAGUAUCCUCUGCACAACCUUUCAGUUGACUCGGUUCAGAGAAUAAACAAGCCAGCCCAGCCUCAGGCAACGGUCUACACCCAUCUAUUCUCUCCUUUGAUCAGUUUAUACAGCCCAUUGAAUUUUGGAGAAACAGAAGCCCAGGAUUGAGAGAUUUAUUCCAGAUCACACAGCCAGUGACUGGGGAUGUAUUUCAUGCUGGAGUUCAUAUUCUAUCCAUGGUCCAUGCUGCCUCUCCUGCCGUGAUGAGGAUGAGAGCGUUGUAUUCAGUCCUGGGCUCACAUCUAUUUCUACACUGCUUGGAAAAGCUAAUUAGCAUACAUGAACUUCAGUUUGCUAUCUAGAAAUUAGGGAUGGUAAUACUUCUACAGUGGAGUAGUUGUGAGGAAGGAGAUGGCAGAGGCCACAUGCCCUUAGUGUGAUAUCUGAAAUAGAGUUAGGACCCAAUAAA